UGUGCUGAGUGAAUGCAACAUAUGCAUCCCCAAAAGUAAACUGGGUGUCAAAUACAUUUCACAUCUGGCAUCUAUUAAAAUAAUGCGUAUGUGUGCAAGCCUGUGUCUGUGUAUAAAACAUGGACGUACUCUCUGAUCUCAAAUAUAGAACAAAAUAUGUGUUUUAAAUGGUGCCUUAAUUUUGUCCCUUUUGUUAACUGGAAAGUUCCUUUAUAUUAAAGUUUGUGCAAAGUAUUUUACUUAACAUAUUAUCUGUAACAGAUUGCAUAAGCAUGACUGUUAUCUGCAUUAGUCAUCGCUUUAGCCCAUGGAAUAUAACUCAUGGCAGUCUGGAUUUAAUGAAUGUUUGAAUUAACAUAUACCUAAUUUCUUGUGUUUUAAAACCUAAAUCUCAUUGAAAGCUGAGCUUUGUUUACUUCCCAAAAUUGAACUGAGGGCCAUUUGGAACACUUAGUGUAUUCUAAAAUGUGAUCGUAUCAACAAUACACGCUCUAGUUUGUUUUAAAGUGAGUUUUUCUUUCCCAGUUUACAUAAAUCAUUUAAAAAAAUCGUUCACUUUUUUGGAUCAUAAUGUACUCACUUGGCUUUUAGACCUACAUAGCUCACAGGCCAAUUUUUCAAACAGGAUUCUAAAGCUAUUUGUGGAUUACUCUCUGUUUGCUACUUGUAAUCUGCAUUCCUGAGGUAAGCAUGGUAAAAAGACUGAAGAUUUUCAUCAAGCUAAGUGAUUAUACUAAAUAGGGCAAUUUUGGGUGAACUCAGCUUCUGUGUUUAAAAAUACAAUGCAGAAGAAACCAACAACACAUUUUCUGUUAAACCACAGAGGGCACUGUUUGUUCUUGAUAUAACGUGACCCCAUCAUGUAGACUCUUGUCGCUCUUCAUUAAGCAAUUACCAUAAGAGCUUAAAAUUAUUAUUUUUUUCUUCUUUUCUUUGAUUUUAAAAUUAACCAGGCGCAUUAUAUGCUGCACACUCUCGUGUUCUGUCAGUGCUUGGCACCAAAUUUUCUGCAUUCACUGGAUCUUCUUCCUCUCCUUACUGCUUUACCAUACCACGUCAAGUCAGACACUUUCCUUCACAGUGAAAGGUAAGGAAUUUGCACAGAAAUGUAUUGGUGAAGAUCUGCUUUUCAUCAUGGCCUAACCGCACAGUAAACAACAGGAAUAACUUGUUUUAAUAAAGUACGGUGUUGAAACA
Molecule: long non-coding RNA, 1197 nt
Filed under: Numida meleagris (helmeted guineafowl)
Lineage: Eukaryota; Metazoa; Chordata; Aves; Galliformes; Numididae
Description: lncRNA (ENSNMEG00000004466.1)
Source: RNAcentral